AUUGAACGCUGGCGGCAUGCUUUACACAUGCAAGUCGAGCGGCAGCGCGGGGGCAACCCUGGCGGCGAGCGGCGAACGGGUGAGUAAUGCAUCGGAACGUAUCCUCGAGUGGGGGAUAACCCAGCGAAAGUUGGGCUAAUACCGCAUGAGCUCUGAGGAGGAAAGCGGGGAACUGCGAAGGCCCUGCGCUGGAGGAGCGGCCGAUGUCCGAUUAGCUAGUUGGUGGGGUAAAGGCUUACCAAGGCGACGAUCGGUAGCUGGUCUGAGAGGAUGAUCAGCCACACUGGGACUGAGACACGGCCCAGACUCCUACGGGAGGCAGCAGUGGGGAAUUUUGGACAAUGGGGGCAACCCUGAUCCAGCCAUGCCGCGUGAGUGAAGAAGGCCUUCGGGUUGUAAAGCUCUUUCGGACGGAACGAAAUGGGCGGGACUAAUACUCCUGUCUGAUGACGGUACCGUAAGAAGAAGCACCGGCUAACUACGUG
This 485-nucleotide ribosomal RNA is filed under the name uncultured bacterium. Its description in RNAcentral is "partial 16S ribosomal RNA". It matches the Rfam family "Bacterial small subunit ribosomal RNA", at positions 29 to 507 of the family's 1533-position model. The record is from RNAcentral.